RNAcentral lists this ribosomal RNA (515 nucleotides) under uncultured bacterium. RNAcentral's name for it is "partial 16S ribosomal RNA". It matches the Rfam family "Bacterial small subunit ribosomal RNA", at positions 28 to 523 of the family's 1533-position model. The record is from RNAcentral.
GAUGAACGCUGGCGGCGUGCCUAAUACAUGCAAGUCGAGCGAAUGGAUUAAGAGCUUGCUCUUAAGAAGUUAGCGGCGGACGGGUGAGUAACACGUGGGUAACCUGCCCAUGAGACUGGGAUAACUACGGGAAACCGGGGCUAAUACCGGAUAACAUGUUGAACCGCAUGGUUCGAAAUUGAAAGGCGGCUUCGGCUGUCACUUAUGGAUGGACCCGCGUCGCAUUAGCUAGUUGGUGAGGUAACGGGUCACCAAGGCAACGAUGCGUAGCCGACCUGAGAGGGGGAUCCGCCACACUGGGACUGGGACACGGCCCAGACUCCUACGGGAGGCAGCAGUAGGGAAUCUUCCGCAAUGGACGAAAGUCUUACGGAGCAACGCCGCGUGAGGGAUGAAGGCUUUCGGGUCGUAAAACUCUGUUUUUAGGGAAGAACAAGUGCUAGUUGAAUAAGCUGGCACCUUGACGGUACCUAACCAGAAAGCCACGGCUAACUACGUGCCAGCCGCCGCAGUAA